UUGGGGAUAUAGCUCAGUUGGUAGAGUGCUUGCUCACGUGCACAAGGCCCUGGGUUCAAUCCCCAGCACCAAA
RNAcentral lists this transfer RNA (73 nucleotides) under Marmota monax (woodchuck). RNAcentral describes it as "tRNA.Undet". The record is from RNAcentral. Lineage: Eukaryota; Metazoa; Chordata; Mammalia; Rodentia; Sciuridae.